Molecule: ribosomal RNA, 253 nt
Filed under: uncultured bacterium
Lineage: Bacteria
Description: partial 16S ribosomal RNA
Rfam family: Bacterial small subunit ribosomal RNA
Source: RNAcentral
UACGUAGGGACCAAGCGUUGUCCGGAAUCAUUGGGCGUAAAGAGCGUGUAGGCGGCCAGGUAGGUCUGCUGUGAAAACUCGAGGCUCAACCUCGAGACGUCGGCGGAAACCAUCUGGCUAGAGUCCGGAAGAGGAGAGUGGAAUUCCUGGUGUAGCGGUGAAAUGCGCAGAUAUCAGGAAGAACACCCGUGGCGAAGGCGGCUCUCUGGGACGGUACUGACGCUGAGACGCGAAAGCGUGGGGAGCGAACAGG